AUGCACAUUUGUUUGCUGUAUCCUCUAAACAAGGAGCAGGAGCUCAAGCAAGCAGAACCACCGGAGCUGAAGCAACUGUUGGCUGAAUUCGAGGAUGUCUUUGGCGAGCCACACGGACUCCCGCCUCGACGUGCCUGCGACCACACAAUACCAUUGAUGCUAGGGGCACAACCGGUCAAUAUCAGAGCCUACCGCCACAAGCCUGAACUGAAGUCGGAGAUUGAGCGACAAGUGCAAGAAUUGCUACAGUCCGGAGUGAUCCAGCGCAGCCAGAGCAGUUUUUCUUCACCAGUCAUCCUCGUCAAGAAGAAGGACGGCACGUGGAGAAUGUGCAUCGACUAUCGCCAUCUUAAUGCGAUGACUCGCGUCAGUAAAUUCCCGGUGCCUGUCAUUGAGGAGUUGCUCGAUGAGUUACACGGCGCGCGUUGGUUCUCCAAAUUGGACCUCCGCGCAGGCUACCAUCAAAUCAGACCGGCUGAAGGCGAAGAAUUCAAAACAGCCUUUCAAACUCACUCGGGCCACUACGAAUUUAAGGUUUUGUCCUAUGGCUUAGCAGGAGGACCGGGUACCUUUAACGGGGCAAUGACAAAUAUGAUGCAUCCCCUUCUGAGGUUCUGUGUACUAGUGUUCUUUGACGACAUCUUAGUGUUCAGUAAAACCUGGGAAGAACACUUGGACCACGUGCGCCAGGUCCUCACCUUGCUGUGUCGCGACCAAUGGAAAGUCAAGAAGUCUAAGUGUGAAUUUGGACAACAACAUCUGUCUUAUCUAGGGCACGUCAUCAGCUCUCAGGGGGUAGCCACGGAUCCGAGCAAGAUCCAGGCAGUUGAAUCAUGGCAAACACCUAGUGAUGCAAAAGAAGUGCGCCGGUUUCUGGGAUUGGCUGGGUAUUAG
RNAcentral lists this ribosomal RNA (894 nucleotides) under Triticum aestivum (bread wheat). RNAcentral describes it as "partial small subunit ribosomal RNA". Lineage: Eukaryota; Viridiplantae; Streptophyta; Magnoliopsida; Poales; Poaceae. The record is from RNAcentral.